RNAcentral lists this non-coding RNA (28 nucleotides) under Rattus norvegicus (Norway rat). The record is from RNAcentral. Lineage: Eukaryota; Metazoa; Chordata; Mammalia; Rodentia; Muridae.
AAGCUAAGCAGUCUUUGUCAGGGUGCAC